UGGGGAAUUUUGGACAAUGGGCGAAAGCCUGAUCCAGCAAUGCCGCGUGUGUGAAGAAGGCCUUCGGGUUGUAAAGCACUUUUGUCCGGAAAAGAAAAUCCUUGGCUCUAAUACAGUCGGGGGAUGACGGUACCGGAAGAAUAAGCACCGGCUAACUACGUGCCAGCAGCCGCGGUAAUACGUGGGUGCAAGCGUUAAUCGGAAUUACUGGGCGUAAAGCGUGCGCAGGCGGUUUGCUAAGACCGAUGUGAAAAUCCCCGGGCUCAAACCUGGGAACUGCAUUGGUGACUGGCAGGCUAGAGUAUGGCAGAGGGGGGUAGAAUUCCACGUGUAGCAGUGAAAAUGCGUAGAGAUGUGGAGGAAUACCGAUGGCGAAGGCAGCCCCCUGGGCCAAUACUGACGCUCAUGCACGAAAAGCGUGGGGGAGCAAAACAGGAUUAGAUACCCUGGUAGUCCACGCCCUAAAACGAUGUC
This 474-nucleotide ribosomal RNA is filed under the name uncultured bacterium. RNAcentral's name for it is "partial 16S ribosomal RNA". It matches the Rfam family "Bacterial small subunit ribosomal RNA", at positions 355 to 813 of the family's 1533-position model. The record is from RNAcentral.